UCCAGGGUGCAGGCACGGUGCCCGGGCGACCCUCAGUCUCCCUCCGACACCCCGCAUCCCAACUCCCGCCGCCUUUGCGCCUCAAAGCUGGCAAACAUCCCCAAGCCAGAGCUGGAGUACCUGGAGUGGGUGGGGGUAAGAAGGGAAGCCAAGGUCGUCCCGGAAGGUGUGCGCCCCUCACCUUGCGGACGGUGCGUGCAGCCGCGCCGCACUGGGCAAACCGGCACGUCCAGCUGGCUCCAGAAGUCUCACUCGGAACCAGCUCCUUUUUCUCCUGAGCUGGAUCAGAGCACUGCUUCUCUCAACAUUCGAUUCUGGAGUACGUUGAGCCCAGGGCGUUCUCCCCGCCAGCGUCCUUGCCCGCGCCAGUGCCCGCCGGGGUGCGGCGAGACAGAACCUGGGAGCGCGGCGCGCCGGGCAGCCCGAGGCACCGCUGGUGGCAGGCGCUGCGCUUCGCCGAGUCUGGGCGCCUGGACUGGAAGAGGAGGCGAGAGGGAGAGAGCGGGGAAGAGGAGGAGGAGGAGGAGCAGGAGCAGGAGCAUGGGCAGGGGCAGUCUGCUAAAUCAUCUACGCAGUGUGUUCCAGGAUGGGCUAAUAGAGCUCCAGGGAAAGCUGGGUUAUGGGAGUGAGUGGACUGCACGUGGGAGGAAGGAAGAACUCAGGGUCAGUAAAGGAGCAGCUUCCUGACCUGGGAGUAUUUGGCAGGGUGAGUACAUGUGGGGUAGACAAAUCACAGAGUUCUUUAAAAUGGGUUUAUUAUUUGUUUUUAUUAAUAAUAUUGUUAGUUUGUAUAGAAACUUAGAAUUUUCAAAGCACUUUCCCUAUCUUCAUAAAAUCUGGCAAUUCCAAAUCAUUUUCUAAAAAUAUACUGUUUAUGAAAUAACAUAUCAG
Molecule: long non-coding RNA, 891 nt
Filed under: Pan troglodytes (chimpanzee)
Lineage: Eukaryota; Metazoa; Chordata; Mammalia; Primates; Hominidae
Description: lncRNA (ENSPTRG00000053308.1)
Source: RNAcentral